CCCAGCAGCCAUAUCGCCCUGCGACUCCCAGCUGGCAGCCCCACUGGAGCUCAGCAGGUGUGAGCCUGGCCAGUACCUGGAUGGGAGACCUCCUGCGAAACACUAAGGCUGCUGCAGGAA
RNAcentral lists this ribosomal RNA (120 nucleotides) under Lepisosteus oculatus (spotted gar). Lineage: Eukaryota; Metazoa; Chordata; Actinopteri; Semionotiformes; Lepisosteidae. The record is from RNAcentral.